GACGGACCACACAAACGUUAUUCGGAAUUACUGGGCUUAAAGGGUGCGUAGGCUGUGCGGUAAGUUGGGUGUGAAAUCCCUCGGCUUAACCGAGGAAUUGCGCCCAAAACUACUGUGCUUGAGGAAGACAGAGGUAAGCGGAACUUAGGGUGGAGCGGUGAAAUGCGUUGAUAUCCUAAGGAACACCGGUGGCGAAAGCGGCUCACUGGAUCUUUUCUGACGCUGAGGCACGAAAGCUAGGGUAGCGAACGGG
RNAcentral lists this ribosomal RNA (253 nucleotides) under uncultured bacterium. RNAcentral describes it as "partial 16S ribosomal RNA". It matches the Rfam family "Bacterial small subunit ribosomal RNA", at positions 524 to 776 of the family's 1533-position model. The record is from RNAcentral.